RNAcentral lists this ribosomal RNA (570 nucleotides) under [Candida] sp. RNAcentral describes it as "Candida sp. (in: Saccharomycetales) partial large subunit ribosomal RNA". It matches the Rfam family "Eukaryotic large subunit ribosomal RNA", at positions 69 to 657 of the family's 3401-position model. The record is from RNAcentral. Lineage: Eukaryota; Fungi; Ascomycota; Saccharomycetes; Saccharomycetales.
ACGACAUUGCCUAGUACGGCGAGUGAAGCGGCAAAAGCUCAAAUUUGAAAUCUAGCACUUUCAGUGUUCGAGUUGUAAUUUGAAGAAGGUAACUUUGGUUUUGGCUCUUGUCUAUGUUCCUUGGAACAGGACGUCACAGAGGGUGAGAAUCCCGUGCGAUGAGAUGCCCAAUUCCAUGUAAAGUGCUUUCGAAGAGUCGAGUUGUUUGGGAAUGCAGCUCUAAGUGGGUGGUAAAUUCCAUCUAAAGCUAAAUAUUGGCGAGAGACCGAUAGCGAACAAGUACAGUGAUGGAAAGAUGAAAAGAACUUUGAAAAGAGAGUGAAAAAGUACGUGAAAUUGUUGAAAGGGAAGGGCUUGAGAUCAGACUUGGUAUUUUGCGUUCCCUUCCUUUUUGGUUGGGUUCCUCGCAGUUUACUGGGCCAGCAUCGGUUUGGAUGGUAGGAUAAUGACAUUGGAAUGUAGCUUUACUUCGGUGAAGUGUUAUAGACUUUGUUGAUACUGCCUAUCUAGACCGAGGACUGCGUCUUUGACUAGGAUGCUGGCGUAAUGAUCUUAAGCCGCCCGUCUUAA